RNAcentral lists this ribosomal RNA (468 nucleotides) under uncultured bacterium. Its description in RNAcentral is "partial 16S ribosomal RNA". It matches the Rfam family "Bacterial small subunit ribosomal RNA", at positions 28 to 507 of the family's 1533-position model. The record is from RNAcentral.
GACGAACGCUGGCGGCGUGCUUAACACAUGCAAGUCGAACGGAAAGGCCCUGCUUUUGUGGGGUGCUCGAGUGGCGAACGGGUGAGUAACACGUGAGUAACCUGUCCUUGACUUUGGGAUAACUUCAGGAAACUGGGGCUAAUACCGGAUAGGAGCUCCUGCUGCAUGGUGGGGGUUGGAAAGUUUCGGCGGUUGGGGAUGGACUCGCGGCUUAUCAGCUUGUUGGUGUGGUAGUGGCUUACCAAGGCUAUGACGGGUAGCCGGCAUGAGAGGGUGACCGGCCACAAUGGGACUGAGAUACGGACCAGACUCGUACGGGAGGCAGCAGUGGGGAAUAUUGCACAGUGGGCGGAAGUCUGAUGCAGCAACGCCGCGUGCGGGAUGCCGGCCUUCGGGUUGUAAACCGCUGUCGACUGUGACGAAGCGUGAGUGACGGUAAUGGGUAAAGAAGCACCGGCUAACUACGUG